This 253-nucleotide ribosomal RNA is filed under the name uncultured bacterium. Its description in RNAcentral is "partial 16S ribosomal RNA". It matches the Rfam family "Bacterial small subunit ribosomal RNA", at positions 524 to 776 of the family's 1533-position model. The record is from RNAcentral.
UACGAAGGGGGCUAGCGUUGCUCGGAAUCACUGGGCGUAAAGGGUGCGUAGGCGGGCCUUUAAGUCCGGGGUGAAAUCCUGGAGCUCAACUCCAGAACUGCCUUUGAUACUGAAGAUCUUGAGUUCGGGAGAGGUGAGUGGAACUGCGAGUGUAGAGGUGAAAUUCGUAGAUAUUCGCAAGAACACCAGUGGCGAAGGCGGCUCACUGGCCCGAUACUGACGCUGAGGCACGAAAGCGUGGGGAGCAAACAGG